This 27-nucleotide small RNA is filed under the name Bombyx mori (domestic silkworm). Its description in RNAcentral is "ovarian small RNA-36153". Lineage: Eukaryota; Metazoa; Arthropoda; Insecta; Lepidoptera; Bombycidae. The record is from RNAcentral.
UGUUGAGGAAGGAGGGGCGCCCGGUGG